CCCUUAGAUGUUCUGGGCCGCACGCGCGCUACACUGAUGCACUCAACGAGUCUCACCUUGACCGAAAGGUCCGGGAAACCUUCGAACUUGCAUCGUGAUGGGGAUAGAUUAUUGCAACUAUUAAUCUUCAACGAGGAAUACCUAGUAGGCGCGUGUCAUCAGCGCGCGUCGAUUACGUCCCUGCCCUUUGUACACACCGCCCGUCGCUCCUACCGAUUGAAUGAUCCGGUGAGGCCCCCGGAUUGUGUGCGCGGCUCUGGUUCGCUAGACUGCGCGCGCGAGAAGCUGUCCAAACCUUAUCAUUUAGAGGAAGGAGAANUCGUAACA
This 327-nucleotide ribosomal RNA is filed under the name uncultured eukaryote. Its description in RNAcentral is "partial 18S ribosomal RNA". It matches the Rfam family "Eukaryotic small subunit ribosomal RNA", at positions 1470 to 1796 of the family's 1831-position model. The record is from RNAcentral.